ACAGUACAAACUGAGCAGGCAAUGCCCGAACGGGCAUGGAGCCGGGCCGCCAUCGCGGCAGCAGAUGGUCUUGACGCAUCUGUGGGACAGU
This 91-nucleotide non-coding RNA is filed under the name uncultured Intestinimonas sp. Its description in RNAcentral is "NiCo riboswitch". It matches the Rfam family "NiCo (Nickel/Cobalt) riboswitch aptamer". The record is from RNAcentral. Lineage: Bacteria; Bacillati; Bacillota; Clostridia; Eubacteriales.